GACAGAGGUGCCGAGCGUUAGGCGGAAUCACUGGGCUUAAGGCGUGUGUAGGCGGAUCGUUAAGUGCCUUGUGAAAUCCCACGGCUCAACCGUGGAACUGCUUGGCAUACUGGCGAUCUUGAGCCACUUAGGGGCUAUCGGAACAAAUGGUGGAGCGGUGAAAUGCGUAGAUAUCAUUUGGAACGCCAAUGGUGAAAACAGGUAGCUGGGAGUGUGCUGACGCUGAGACACGAAAGCCAGGGGAGCAAACGGG
RNAcentral lists this ribosomal RNA (253 nucleotides) under uncultured bacterium. RNAcentral's name for it is "partial 16S ribosomal RNA". It matches the Rfam family "Bacterial small subunit ribosomal RNA", at positions 524 to 776 of the family's 1533-position model. The record is from RNAcentral.